RNAcentral lists this unclassified non-coding RNA (2648 nucleotides) under Hevea brasiliensis (rubber tree). Lineage: Eukaryota; Viridiplantae; Streptophyta; Magnoliopsida; Malpighiales; Euphorbiaceae. The record is from RNAcentral.
CUCUUCCGCUCUUCGCUUCUCUUAAGAUCAAAACGUCUCCUCUCCUACUUCUCCUUCUCUACAGCGUCCAUUGCAGCUCCUUCAAUCUCUCCGACUCUACUGAAACAAUGCAAAUCCGUUUUCCAAGCAAAUCUCGUCCACCAGCAAGCCUUAAUUCAUGGUCUAUUAACCCAUUUCUCCAUCAAUCUUAUCUCCACCUACUUAGCUCUCAGUGCUCCUUUCCAUGCUCUUUCCCUCCUCCAACGCCUUACCCCUACUCCCUCUGCCGUCUUCUGGUGGAAUGCUCUCAUCCGCCGUGCUGUGCGCCUCGGCUUUCUACACCACUCCCUUUCUCUCUUCUGCAGAAUGCUCAGCCUUGGAUGGUCCCCUGACCACUAUACUUUCCCCUUUGUUUUUAAGGCGUGCGGUGAGCUUUCCUCCUUUCGCCAUGGCAGUUCACUCCAUGCUGUUAUCUGCUCAAAUGGGUUUGAUUCUAAUGUUUUUGUUUGCAAUGCGGUGGUGGCCAUGUAUGGCAGGUGUGGCGCAUUGGACCAUGCGCGCCAAAUGUUUGAUGAAAUGUGUAUGAGUGAGAUAUACGAUUUGGUUUCCUGGAAUUCAAUGAUCACCGCUUACAUGCAAAGUGGCGAUUCGAAAAGUGUACUUGGGUUUUUUCGUAGAAUGUGCGAAGUAGGUGACAAAGAUAUCCGACCGGAUCCUGUUAGUCUUGUCAACGUGCUUCCUGCUUGUGCUUCUAUGAAUGCUUGGUUGUGUGGGAAGCAGGUACAUAGCUAUGCAUUGAGGAGUGGCUUGUUUGAAGAUGUCUUUGUGGGUAAUUCACUUGUGGAUAUGUAUGCAAAGUGUGGAAUGAUGCACGAAGCUUACAAGGUUUUUGAGCGGAUGCAGGAGAAGGAUGUGGUUUCUUGGAAUGCAAUGGUUACAGGGUAUUCUCAGAUUGGCAGGUUUGAAGAUGCUCUUACUUUGUUCGAGGCAAUGAGGGAAGAGAACAUUGAGCUGGACGUUGUGUCUUGGAGUGCUGUUAUUGCAGGAUAUGCACAGAGGGGACUUGGCUAUGAAGCAAUGGACGUGUUUAGGCAAAUGCAGGUUUGUGGGUCGAAGCCAAAUGAGGUUACCCUUGUGUCACUUCUUUCUGGUUGUGCCGCGGUUGGAGCAUUGCUUCAAGGGAAGGGGACUCAUUGUUAUGCCAUAAAAUGCAUUUUGAACUUUGAUAGGAGUGAUCCAAGAGAAGAGCAUUUGGCAGUUAACGCCAUAAUUGACAUGUACACAAAGUGCAAAAGUAUCAAAGUUGCCCGUGCCAUUUUUGAUUCUAUUGUGCCAAAGGAUAGGAAUGUAGUGACUUGGACUACUAUGAUUGCUGGGUACUCCCAACACGGAGAAGCUAAUGAUGCAAUAGAACUCUUCUCCCAGAUGCUCAAUCAGGAUAUAUCAGUAAAGCCAAAUGCGUUUACCAUAUCUUGUGCCUUGAUGGCAUGUGCUCGUUUGGCUGCAUUGAGAUUUGGUAGACAAAUCCAUGCUUAUGUAUUGCGCAAUCAUUACGAUGUACUUUUUGUGGCCAAUUGCCUGAUAGAUAUGUAUUCUAAAUCUGGAGAUAUUGAUGUUGCAAGAACUGUGUUUGAUAACAUGAAGCAGAGAAAUGCUGUUUCUUGGACAUCCCUGAUGACAGGUUAUGGCAUGCAUGGGCAAGGCGAAGCAGCACUUAAUGUUUUUGAUGAGAUGCGAAGAGAGGGUCUUGUUCCUGACUGUAUAACGUUCCUUGUUGUGCUCUAUGCUUGCAGCCAUUCAGGAAUGGUUGAUGAAGGGAUUAAAUACUUCAAUGAAAUGAGCAAAAACUUCGGUGUUGUUCCUGGAGAAGAACACUAUGCUUGCAUGGUUGAUCUUUUGGGUCGUGCUGGUCGCUUGGAUGAGGCCAUGAAGCUCAUUGAUGGUAUGCCUAUGGAAACAGGUCCUAUAGUGUGGGUAGCGUUGCUAAGUGGUUGCAGGAAACAUGCUAAUGUGGAACUUGGGGAGUAUGCUGCAAACCGAUUGUUAGAACUGGAGUCAGAAAAUGAUGGAUCUUACACAUUGCUUUCAAACAUAUACGCCAAUGCCAGGCGUUGGAAAGAUGUGAGCAGGAUCAGAUCUUUGAUGAAACAUACAGGGAUUAAGAAGAGGCCUGGUUGUAGUUGGGUCCAAGGGAAGAAAGGCACUGCAACCUUCUUUGUUGGGGACAGGACUCAUCCACAGUCUAAACAAAUAUAUGCAAUCCUCACAGAAUUGAUUCGACGAAUUAAAGUUCUUGGAUAUGUUCCAGAGACUAGCUUUGCUCUCCAUGAUGUGGAUGAUGAAGAGAAAGGUGAUCUUCUUUUUGAACACAGUGAGAAGUUGGCUCUUGCCUAUGGCAUUCUAACAUCAGCUCCAGGCGCACCCAUCAGGAUUACCAAGAAUUUGCGCGUAUGUGGUGAUUGCCACAGUGCCAUUACUCACAUAUCUAUGAUCAUUGAUCAUGAAAUCGUAUUGAGGGACUCGACCCGCUUCCAUCAUUUCAAGAAAGGAUCCUGCUCCUGCAGGGGCUAUUGGUGAUAAAUGGAAUUCUGGAUUUUCAGUUGAGCUUUUAUUCUUUCUUUUUCUUUUUGUCUUCAAUUUUUGGUUAAUAACAGAAAAACCUAUUAAGU